RNAcentral lists this ribosomal RNA (440 nucleotides) under uncultured bacterium. RNAcentral describes it as "partial 16S ribosomal RNA". It matches the Rfam family "Bacterial small subunit ribosomal RNA", at positions 338 to 795 of the family's 1533-position model. The record is from RNAcentral.
CCUACGGGAGGCAGCAGUGGGGGAUAUUGCACAAUGGGGGAAACCCUGAUGCAGCGACGCCGCGUGAGUGAAGAAGUCUUUCGGUAUGUAAAGCUCUAUCAGCAGGGAAGAAAAUGACAGUACCUGACCACUCCGCCCCUUCUAACUCCGUUCCAGCCGCCGCGGUAAUACGGAGGGGGCCAGCGUUAUCCGGCGUUACUGGGUGUAAAGGGAGCGUAGACGGUUAUGUAAGUCUGGAGUGAAAGCCCGGGGCCCAACCCCGGGACUGCUGUGGAAACUGGGGAACUGGAGUACAGGAGGGGCAGGCGGAAGGCCUGGUGUAGCGGUGAAAGGCGGAGAGAGCAGGAGGAACACCGGCGGCGAAGGCGGCCUGCUGGACUGAAACUGACGUUGAGGCUCGAAAGCGUGGGGAGCAAACAGGAUUAGAUACCCUUGUAGUC